UACGGAGGGUGCAAGCGUUAUCCGGAUUCACUGGGUUUAAAGGGUGCGUAGGUGGUCAAGUAAGUCAGUGGUGAAAUCUCCGGGCUUAACCCGGAAACUGCCAUUGAUACUAUUUGUCCUGAAUAUUGUGGAGGUCAGCGGAAUAUGUCAUGUAGCGGUGAAAUGCUUAGAUAUGACAUAGAACACCAAUUGCGAAGGCAGCUGGCUACACAAAUAUUGACACUGAGGCACGAAAGCGUGGGGAUCAAACAGG
This 253-nucleotide ribosomal RNA is filed under the name uncultured bacterium. RNAcentral's name for it is "partial 16S ribosomal RNA". It matches the Rfam family "Bacterial small subunit ribosomal RNA", at positions 524 to 776 of the family's 1533-position model. The record is from RNAcentral.